AGAACGCUUCACCACUGCACUGUUCUUGUCUUCUAAACAGUAAAAGCCAAUGGAUUCUCCUGCCUCGUACUCCAUCAAUUUCCUGUCUCCUGAAAUUCCUUGUAGUGAAACAUAUAUGGAAAUGGUUGAAGUAAAAGGCUGGUGAAUCGGCUUGACCAUGUAGGUAAGGUCAAAUCCUGGGAAAAUGACAGAGAAACAAGAGAGAAGGAGUCUGGAUCUGUGGAUAACCCCACAGAACAGAAACAUGUAUCCUUCCUGGAAUGCACACUGGCUCUGAGCUGUGACAUGAGAAAGGAAUAAAUUUCCUACCUGUUUGAGCUACUGCAUCUCAAGGAGGUUGGUUUAUGGAAGGGAGGUUGCUUUAUGGAAGCAGCUUAAUUUCUACCCUAACUAU
Molecule: long non-coding RNA, 394 nt
Filed under: Mustela putorius furo (domestic ferret)
Lineage: Eukaryota; Metazoa; Chordata; Mammalia; Carnivora; Mustelidae
Description: lncRNA (ENSMPUG00000025747.1)
Source: RNAcentral